UUCGCUCUCGUAGUUAACAGCUGC
This 24-nucleotide non-coding RNA is filed under the name Arabidopsis thaliana (thale cress). Lineage: Eukaryota; Viridiplantae; Streptophyta; Magnoliopsida; Brassicales; Brassicaceae. The record is from RNAcentral.